This 1463-nucleotide ribosomal RNA is filed under the name metagenome. RNAcentral describes it as "bacterial LSU rRNA". It matches the Rfam family "Bacterial large subunit ribosomal RNA", at positions 1440 to 2925 of the family's 2925-position model. The record is from RNAcentral.
UGUACUGUCAUGUAACAGAACUGUGGGGACGCAGGGAGGAAAGAAGAGCCGGGAAUGAAGAGACCGGUGCAAGCGAGGUAGGAGUCUGAAGGGCAAAACCGUCAGACAAUCCGAAGACGUGAUGCGCAGCGAACAGAAGUAGCGAAGCUUCGGCCCCUAACUGCCAAGAAAAGCCGCUAUUGUUUGCAUGACACCCGUACCGUAAACCGACACAGGUGGAUGAGGAGAGAAUCCUAAGGCCGACGGGAGAAGCAUUGUUAAGGAACUCGGCAAAAUGACCCCGUAACUUCGGGAGAAGGGGUGCCUCGAAAGAGGCCGCAGAGAAUUGGCCCAAGCAACUGUUUAGCAAAAACACAGGUCUAUGCAAAACCGAAAGGUGAGGUAUAUGGGCUGAUGCCUGCCCGGUGCUGGAAGGUUAAGAGGAGAGCUUAGCGCAAGCGAAGGUUUGAAUUUAAGCCCCAGUAAACGGCGGCCGUAACAAUAACGGUCCUAAGGUAGCGAAAUUCCUUGUCGGGUAAGUUCCGACCCGCACGAAAGGCGUAAUGAUUUGGGCGCUGUCUCGACAAUGCACCCGGUGAAAUUGAAGUACCAGUGAAGAUGCUGGUUACCCGCGCCAGGACGGAAAGACCCCAUGGAGCUUUACUCUAGCUUGAUACUGGGAUUCGGUAUUGUCUGUACAGGAUAGGUGGGAGGCUAUGAACCGUGGACGCCAGUCUGCGGGGAGCCGCUGUUGGGAUACCACCCUUACAAUACUGGAUUUCUAACCUGCCGCCAUGACCUGGCGGAGGGACAAUGUCUGGUGGGGAGUUUGACUGGGGCGGUCGCCUCCGAAAGAGUAUCGGAGGCGCUCAAAGGUCCUCUCAGGAUGGACGGAAACCAUCCGAAGAGUGCAAAGGCAUAAGAGGGCCUGACUGUGACACCGACGGGUGGAGCAGGUACGAAAGUAGGACUUAGUGAUCCGGUGGUAGAAAGUAGGAUUGCCAUCGCUCAACGGAUAAAAGCUACCCUGGGGAUAACAGGCUUAUCACUCCCAAGAGUUCACAUCGACGGAGUGGUUUGGCACCUCGAUGUCGGCUCAUCGCAUCCUGGGGCUGUAGCAGGUCCCAAGGGUUGGGCUGUUCGCCCAUUAAAGCGGUACGCGAGCUGGGUUCAGAACGUCGUGAGACAGUUCGGUCCCUAUCCGGCGCGGGUGUAGGAUAUUUGAGAGGAGCUGUCCUUAGUACGAGAGGACCGGGAUGGACGAACCGCUGGUGGAUCGGUUGCAUUAUCAAGUGCAUGGCCGAGUAGCCAAGUUCGGAAGGGAUAAACGCUGAAGGCAUCUAAGCGUGAAGCCCCCCUCAAGAUGAGAUAUCCCAUUCUUUAAAAGAAGUAAGACCCCUUGAAGACCACGAGGUAGAUAGGGCAGAGGUGGAAGUACGGUAACGUAUGGAGCUGACUGUCACUAAUCGGUCGAGGGCUUGAUC